RNAcentral lists this ribosomal RNA (253 nucleotides) under uncultured bacterium. RNAcentral's name for it is "partial 16S ribosomal RNA". It matches the Rfam family "Bacterial small subunit ribosomal RNA", at positions 524 to 776 of the family's 1533-position model. The record is from RNAcentral.
UACGUAGGGUGCAAGCGUUGUCCGGAAUUAUUGGGCGUAAAGAGCUCGUAGGCGGUCUGUCGCGUCUGCUGUGAAAACUCAGGGCUUAACCCUGUGCUUGCAGUGGGUACGGGCAGACUAGAGUGCGGUAGGGGAGACUGGAAUUCCUGGUGUAGCGGUGAAAUGCGCAGAUAUCAGGAGGAACACCGGUGGCGAAGGCGGGUCUCUGGGCCGUAACUGACGCUGAGGAGCGAAAGCAUGGGGAGCGAACAGG